UCAGUGAAGUGAUUCUGGUAAGAGCCAUGAGAGGACUACCACAUGAGCAGCACUGAAGUGACACGUCUGUAGACUCUCAGAGAAUUACUGUCAGCACAGAAGUCUUUUGAGGAGCCCAGCGAGCGUCCAGUGGUGCCUCAACCUGCUCGACCAUAACGCUCUGUGGCCCAAAUGAAAAGCUUGGGAUAAGCCCAGCCUCAAGGUCACAAAAGUAGGUGUGCAAGAAGCAAAUCACUGGUUCAGACUUCCAGGCCAUCUGGGAAACAAUACGGGACAGGGAAAAUGCUUCCCGUUCUGUCUGACCUGAGGAGAGGCGUUUUGAAGAUGGAUGUCGCUGAAAUAACCAAAACAUCUCACACUUGUACUCUGUUCACUGCCGUUUAAUUCCUUAGAGGUUCAUCAGCAACGCCUCGCAGCAAGUUGUUUGCAGCGAGUUCUUAAAAAAAAAACAAAAAAAAAAACCUGCAUUUCAGCUCUUGUACUUUGUGUUAUUUCACACUGCAUUUCCAUCGUCGUGCUCAGCCACAACAUCAACAGCUGUGCUCACACUGAACAUAAACAGAGAGAGAAGCGGUGUUACUGUGUGUAACUCUGUCAUGGACGGAGAGUAAGAAGAAUAAAAUAAAGAUGCUGUUGAGUGAAGAGACGUCUGAUCUGGUCUGCAGUGACGUUCAGGUUUGUGUAAAAAACACUCGGCUCACAGUCAUGAAACAGAAGCUGGAACCAGAUUCCCUCCGUCUGCUUUAUCUUACUUAUCCUGGUCUAAGUCAUGUUAAUUUAAUUGGUUAAAUUGUUAGGAACAGUUGAUGAGAAGUACUAGAAUACUAUAAUAAUGAAUGUUUUCCCACCUCAUGUUCAUUAAAAACUAGUUAAAUGUUAUUGUGUGGGGUAUAAAAAAUACUUUAUCGACUUACAGAAACCCCGGUUUCCUAACAAAACAUCUCAUUUCUAGCGUUUGUGUCUUAAUUUACUAAAUUUCAUCGUCAGAAAUGCCAUUGCCCUGGAGAGGGGAAUGACUGUCUGAUAAUAAGUAGUGUUUCCAUGAUGACUGUUGCUCUGCUGUCGACAUUAGAAGUGGGAAAUGAGGAACGAACACAUAAAGGCUUUUUGCUGAACAUCACAGGGCUCUGUUAAAGUCUGCUAAUAACAUGGGAAAUCAAACCGGGCAGAGACGUGAUGAAGUUUGUUCUGUCAUCAGUUUGAUCUCAGUCUGUUUUCUUACUGUUUCUGUUGGUGCCCCCUCAGCGCUCCCAUUAAUUCCUCCUGAUUUAUGCAUCAAAAGACUGUUAUUUGCUAUUUGCACAUCCUUUUUCUGAGGCUGUAAAAUGAGAUACUGUAUAAAAUCGG
This is a long non-coding RNA of Monopterus albus (swamp eel), 1347 nucleotides long. RefSeq lists it as uncharacterized. The record is from RefSeq and is a predicted model, not a curated record. NCBI's taxonomy places the organism in Eukaryota, Metazoa, Chordata, Actinopteri, Synbranchiformes, Synbranchidae. The transcript is spliced from 4 exons.